AGCGGGGCUUCAGCAUCGUGCGAGAAGUUCUUCGAUAUGAGUAGGCGGCGGACGGGUGAGUAACGCGUAGGAAUCUACCUAGUAGAAGGGGAUAGCCCGGGGAAACUCGGAUUAAUACCGUAUACCUCCUUCGGGAAAAGAAGGCCUCUCUUUGAAGCUUUCGCUACUAGAUGAGCCUGCUAAGAUUAGCUUGUUGGUGAGGUAAGGCUCACCAGGCGACAUUUUAGGGGUCUGAAGGACAUCCCCACUUGGGACUGAACACGGCCCAACUCCUACGGGAGGCAGCAGGGGAAUAUUGGACAAUGGGCGCAAGCCUGAUCCACCAUACCGCGUGGUAAAAGGCCCUAGGGUUGUAAAGCACUUUAAGUUGGAAAAAAGUUAUUGGUUAAUACCCAAUAGCCGUGACAUUACCACCAAAUAAGGACCGGCUAAUUCCGUGCCAGCAGCCGCGGUAAUACGGAAGGUCCAAGCGUUAAUCGGAAUUACUGGGCGUAAAGCGCGCGUAGGUGGUUUAUUAAGUUGGAUGUGAAAUCCCCGGGCUCAACCUGGGAACUGCAUCCAAAACUGAUUCACUAGAGUACGAUAGAGGGAGGUAGAAUUCACAGUGUAGCGGUGGAAUGCGUAGAUAUUGUGAAGAAUACCAAUGGCGAAGGCAGCCUCCUGGAUCUGUACUGACACUGAGGUGCGAAAGCGUGGGUAGCGAACAGGAUUAGAUACCCUGGUAGUCCACGCCGUACACGAUGUCAACUAGCUGUUGGGGAACUAUGUUCUUCAGUGGCGCACUAACGUAGUAAGUUGACCGCCUGGGGAGUACGGCCGCAAGGCUAAAACUCAAAUGAAUUGACGGGACCCGCACAAGCGGUGGAGCAUGUGGUUUAAUUCGAUGCAACGCGAAAAACUUACCUAUACUUGACAUACCUGGAAUACUUUGUAUGAAGUAGCGCUUCGGAGCCAGGAUACAGGCUGCAUGGUGUCGUCAGCUCGUGUCGUGAGAUGUCCGUUAGUCGAUACGAGCGCAAUUAUUUGCGGAAUCCGCGGACUAGACUGAUUGAAGUCAUCAUACGA
RNAcentral lists this ribosomal RNA (1065 nucleotides) under uncultured Gammaproteobacteria bacterium. RNAcentral describes it as "bacterial SSU rRNA". It matches the Rfam family "Bacterial small subunit ribosomal RNA", at positions 60 to 1174 of the family's 1533-position model. The record is from RNAcentral. Lineage: Bacteria; Pseudomonadati; Pseudomonadota; Gammaproteobacteria.